Molecule: microRNA precursor, 89 nt
Filed under: Paramuricea clavata
Lineage: Eukaryota; Metazoa; Cnidaria; Anthozoa; Malacalcyonacea; Plexauridae
Source: RNAcentral
UUGAAGGUUUUGUGAGAAAUGUUUGAGGAAACUGACUUAAUGUUAAACACUGAUUCAGUUUCCUCAAACAUUUCUUACAAAUCUUUCAA